AGUGAACGCUGGCGGUAGGCCUAAUACAUGCAAGUCGAACGCCGGCACAGUAAGAGGUUGCUCUUGAGGGUGGGCAGUGGCGGGAGGAUGGGGUAUAUAACGGAAUUUAUAUUUUCGUGGGGGAUAUGGUAGGGUAACUUAUGCUACUACAGCAUAGGAACUACGGGUGAAAUCAGGAAAUCUUCGAACUUUGCGAGUUCCAAUGAGACGUUUUCGGAUUAGGUAGUUGGCGGGGUAAAGGCCCACCAAGGCGACGAUCCUAAGCCGGUCUGAGAGGUGGAUCAGCCACACUGGAACUGGAACACGGUCCAGACUCCUACGGAAGGCAGCAGUGGGGAAUAUUGGAAAAUGGGCGCAAUCCUGCUCCAGCCAUACCGCGUAGGUGAGGAAGGCCUUCGAUUGGUAAAGCCCGUUUGAUGGGAAAAAAAAGUAGCAGGGUAAUACCCCGCUGUUCUGACGGUACCCAAAGAAUAAGCACCGGCUAACUACGUG
This 492-nucleotide ribosomal RNA is filed under the name uncultured bacterium. RNAcentral's name for it is "partial 16S ribosomal RNA". It matches the Rfam family "Bacterial small subunit ribosomal RNA", at positions 29 to 507 of the family's 1533-position model. The record is from RNAcentral.